RNAcentral lists this ribosomal RNA (258 nucleotides) under Escherichia coli. RNAcentral's name for it is "partial 16S ribosomal RNA". It matches the Rfam family "Bacterial small subunit ribosomal RNA", at positions 1288 to 1533 of the family's 1533-position model. Lineage: Bacteria; Pseudomonadati; Pseudomonadota; Gammaproteobacteria; Enterobacterales; Enterobacteriaceae. The record is from RNAcentral. RNAcentral also lists the same sequence under 2 other names.
GUAGUCCGGAUUGGAGUCUGCAACUCGACUCCAUGAAGUCGGAAUCGCUAGUAAUCGUGGAUCAGAAUGCCACGGUGAAUACGUUCCCGGGCCUUGUACACACCGCCCGUCACACCAUGGGAGUGGGUUGCAAAAGAAGUAGGUAGCUUAACCUUCGGGAGGGCGCUUACCACUUUGUGAUUCAUGACUGGGGUGAAGUCGUAACAAGGUAACCGUAGGGGAACCUGCGGUUGGAUCACCUCCUUACCUUAAAGAAGC